RNAcentral lists this ribosomal RNA (889 nucleotides) under uncultured bacterium. RNAcentral describes it as "bacterial SSU rRNA". It matches the Rfam family "Bacterial small subunit ribosomal RNA", at positions 8 to 854 of the family's 1533-position model. The record is from RNAcentral.
AGAGUUUGAUCAUGGCUCAGGACGAACGCUGGCGGCGUGCCUAGUACAUGCAAGUCGAGCGAGCUUGCCUAGAUGAUUUUGGUGCUUGCACUAAAUGAAACUAGAUACAAGCGAGCGGCGGACGGGUGAGUAACACGUGGGUAACCUGCCCAAGAGACUGGGAUAACACCUGGAAACAGAUGCUAAUACCGGAUAACAACACUAGACGCAUGUCUAGAGUUUGAAAGAUGGUUCUGCUAUCACUCUUGGAUGGACCUGCGGUGCAUUAGCUAGUUGGUAAGGUAACGGCUUACCAAGGCAAUGACUGCAUAGCCGAGUUGAGAGACUGAUCGGCCACAUUGGGACUGAGACACGGCCCAAACUCCUACGGGAGGCAGCAGUAGGGAAUCUUCCACAAUGGACGAAAGUCUGAUGGAGCAACGCCGCGUGAGUGAAGAAGGGUUUCGGCUCGUAAAGCUCUGUUGGUAGUGAAGAAAGAUAGAGGUAGUAACUGGCCUUUAUUUGACGGUAAUUACUUAGAAAGUCACGGCUAACUACGUGCCAGCAGCCGCGGUAAUACGUAGGUGGCAAGCGUUGUCCGGAUUUAUUGGGCGUAAAGCGAGUGCAGGCGGUUCAAUAAGUCUGAUGUGAAAGCCUUCGGCUCAACCGGAGAAUCGCAUCAGAAACUGUUGAACUUGCAGUGCAGAAGAGGAGAGUGGAACUCCAUGUGUAGCGGUGGAAUGCGUAGAUAUAUGGAAGAACACCAGUGGCGAAGGCGGCUCUCUGGUCUGCAACUGACGCUGAGGCUCGAAAGCAUGGGUAGCGAACAGGAUUAGAUACCCUGGUAGUCCAUGCCGUAAACGAUGAGUGCUAAGUGUUGGGAGGUUUCCGCCUCUCAGUGCUGCAGUCU